CCUGCAGGAACAGCCUCAAGUCAUUUGCAUCAGUGGUUUUUCUGGGAAAGAAGAGGUGUCUGCUGACGGGUGUGGUGGCGGUGUCACUAGAUGUCUGAGUCCUCUCCAAAGGAUUUAUUCAAAGUCCCUUGACAGUGUGUUGAGGAAACCAGCUUUAAAAGCACACUACUUACUGUAUCCCUGCUGCUGUGCCUUUCUGCUCUCCUUCUUGGU
RNAcentral lists this long non-coding RNA (213 nucleotides) under Chinchilla lanigera (long-tailed chinchilla). RNAcentral's name for it is "lncRNA (ENSCLAG00000022523.1)". Lineage: Eukaryota; Metazoa; Chordata; Mammalia; Rodentia; Chinchillidae. The record is from RNAcentral.